UACGUAGGGUGCAAGCGUUAAUCGGAAUUACUGGGCGUAAAGCGUGCGCAGGCGGUUAUGUAAGACAGUUGUGAAAUCCCCGGGCUCAACCUGGGAACUGCAUCUGUGACUGCAUAGCUAGAGUACGGUAGAGGGGGAUGGAAUUCCGCGCGUAGCAGUGAAAUGCGUAGAUAUGCGGAGGAACACCGAUGGCGAAGGCAAUCCCCUGGACCUGUACUGACGCUCAUGCACGAAAGCGUGGGGAGCAAACAGG
Molecule: ribosomal RNA, 253 nt
Filed under: uncultured bacterium
Lineage: Bacteria
Description: partial 16S ribosomal RNA
Rfam family: Bacterial small subunit ribosomal RNA
Source: RNAcentral